CCCCUGGUGGCAGCGGCAGCGCAGUUCGCGCCUGUGGCCAGAGGCGGGGCGGAAGCGCGGCUAGGCGGAUCCCGCACGGUCGCCGUCGGCCUGCGCUGCUCGGAGCUGCCGGAGCACCCACGCUGAGCCGCGCCCGCCGCAGCCACCUAGAAGAAGCCCAGCCUGGCCCUGGCACGCGGUGAACCUUAAUCGAUUCACCUCUCCAUGGGGUGAGAAACAGAGAGAUCAUAUCACCUGCCAACGUAGCCCAGGGAAAGAAAAGCUGAGUCUGCAAACAGGGCCAGCAGAAGGUUCGAACUGCUGCCCCUGUUCUGUUACUCUCUCCACCCAGAGCCCCAGUGACAAAAAGCAACAGAAGCUGGGCUUAACUAUACCAGAAUUCACGGCAGGGCGAUGUCAGCCAUGUUUCCUGAGCCUAUCAACCAGUGCCACCAGCAUCACCACCAAUAUCUACCUGUAUUCACAGAUUUUAGUGAAGAAAUCCUACAGUAAAAGAUUUUGAAAAAUGACUUUCCCCAAUGUAUCUCUUGAAUAAAUACCAACAUUCAUAUGCCUUA
This is a long non-coding RNA of Symphalangus syndactylus (siamang), 557 nucleotides long. RefSeq lists it as uncharacterized. The record is from RefSeq and is a predicted model, not a curated record. NCBI's taxonomy places the organism in Eukaryota, Metazoa, Chordata, Mammalia, Primates, Hylobatidae.